GACGAACGCUGGCGGCGUGCCUAAUACAUGCAAGUAGAACGCACGGUUUAUACCGUAGCUUGCUACACCAUAGACUGUGAGUUGCGAACGGGUGAGUAACGCGUAGGUAACCUGCCUGGUAGCGGGGGAUAACUAUUGGAAACGAUAGCUAAUACCGCAUAAUAUUAAUUAUUGCAUGAUAAUUAAUUGAAAGGUGCAAUUGCACCACUACCUGAUGGACCUGCGUUGUAUUAGCUAGGAGGUGAGGUAACGGCUAACCUAGGCGACGAUACAUAGCCGACCUGCGAGGGGGAUCGGCCAAGCUGGGACGGGGAGACGGCCCAGAACCCUACGGGAGGCAGCCGUAGGGGACCUUUGGCAAUGGACGAAAGUCGGACCGAGCAACGCCGCGUGAGUGAAGGAGGUUGUCGGAUCGUAAAGCUCUGUUGUAAGAGAAGAACGGGUGUGAGAGUGGAAAGUGCACACUGUGACGGUAUCUUACCAGAAAGGGACGGCUAACUACGUG
RNAcentral lists this ribosomal RNA (505 nucleotides) under uncultured bacterium. RNAcentral describes it as "partial 16S ribosomal RNA". It matches the Rfam family "Bacterial small subunit ribosomal RNA", at positions 28 to 507 of the family's 1533-position model. The record is from RNAcentral.